UACGGAGGGUGCAAGCGUUGUCCGGAUUUAUUGGGUUUAAAGGGUGCGUAGGCGGCCUGUUAAGUCAAUGCUGAAAGCCUGUGGCUUAACCACAGGACUGGCAAUGAUACUGGCAGGCUUGAGUACAGACGAGGUAGGCGGAAUUGAUAAUGUAGCGGUGAAAUGCAUAGAUAUUAUCAGGAACUCCGAUUGCGAAGGCAGCUUACUAGGCUGUAACUGACGCUGAGGCACGAAAGUGUGGGGAG
This 245-nucleotide ribosomal RNA is filed under the name uncultured Adhaeribacter sp. Its description in RNAcentral is "partial 16S ribosomal RNA". It matches the Rfam family "Bacterial small subunit ribosomal RNA", at positions 524 to 768 of the family's 1533-position model. The record is from RNAcentral. Lineage: Bacteria; Pseudomonadati; Bacteroidota; Cytophagia; Cytophagales; Hymenobacteraceae.